This 337-nucleotide long non-coding RNA is filed under the name Homo sapiens (human). Its description in RNAcentral is "HSALNT0130420". Lineage: Eukaryota; Metazoa; Chordata; Mammalia; Primates; Hominidae. The record is from RNAcentral.
GUCAAUGUUCACACUCUUUUCAUGUAGCAGUGUACCCGCAUUUGAAUCUUUCUGUUACAUUAUUUUGGAAUUUUAGGUUUCAAACAGUGUAUCUUUCUAAAAUCCGUUUUUUUGACAUUGUAAUUUUCUGUGGCAAGACACUAUAAGCUCUCACCAGGUUCUUGGAUUGGGUAUGAUUCACAGGAAUUGAAUGUUAGUAAUCUGGGGCUGUCCUCUUUAUCAUUAAAAAUGAGUUUUUACAACUGGUGACAAGCUGAUUGCUGACCUUUCUUUAGAAAUCAAGAAAUUGUAUGUCAGAAUUAAAAAUAGGAAAUCUGAUUUAAUUGUAGAGGGUCUA